UAACAAUAGCACAAAGGAGCGU
Molecule: microRNA, 22 nt
Filed under: Heligmosomoides polygyrus
Lineage: Eukaryota; Metazoa; Nematoda; Chromadorea; Rhabditida; Heligmosomidae
Description: hpo-miR-10156a-3p
Source: miRBase by way of RNAcentral